GGAGACUGCCGGUGAUAAACCGGAGGAAGGUGGGGAUGACGUCAAGUCAUCAUGGCCCUUACGAGUAGGGCUACACACGUGCUACAAUGGCAUAUACAAAGAGAAGCGAACUCGCGAGAGCAAGCGGACCUCAUAAAGUAUGUCGUAGUCCGGAUUGGAGUCUGCAACUCGACUCCAUGAAGUCGGAAUCGCUAGUAAUCGUAGAUCAGAAUGCUACGGUGAAUACGUUCCCGGGCCUU
Molecule: ribosomal RNA, 239 nt
Filed under: uncultured Enterobacteriaceae bacterium
Lineage: Bacteria; Pseudomonadati; Pseudomonadota; Gammaproteobacteria; Enterobacterales; Enterobacteriaceae
Description: partial 16S ribosomal RNA
Rfam family: Bacterial small subunit ribosomal RNA
Source: RNAcentral